RNAcentral lists this ribosomal RNA (492 nucleotides) under uncultured bacterium. RNAcentral's name for it is "partial 16S ribosomal RNA". It matches the Rfam family "Bacterial small subunit ribosomal RNA", at positions 29 to 507 of the family's 1533-position model. The record is from RNAcentral.
AGUGAACGCUGGCGGUAGGCCUAACACAUGCAAGUCGAACGGCAGCACAGUAAGAGCUCGUUCUUACGGGUGGCGAGUGGUGGACGGGUGCGGAAUACAUCGGAAUCUACUUUUUCGUGGGGGAUAACGUAGGGAAACUUACGCUAAUACCGCAUACGACCUACGGGUGAAGGCAGGGGAUCUUCGGCCCUUGCGCGAUUGAAUGAGCCGAUGUCGGAUUAGCUAGUUGGCGGGGUAAAGGCCCACCAAGGCGACGAUCCGUAGCUGGUCUGAGAGGAUGAUCAGCCACACUGGAACUGAGACACGGUCCAGACUCCUACGGGAGGCAGCAGUGGGGAAUAUUGGACAAUGGGCGCAAGCCUGAUCCAGCCAUGCCGCGUGGGUGAAGAAGGCCUUCGGGUUGUAAAGCCCUUUUGUUGGGAAAGAAAAGCAGCAGGUUAAUACCCCGCUGUUCUGACGGUACCCAAAGAAUAAGCACCGGCUAACUUCGUG